RNAcentral lists this long non-coding RNA (2343 nucleotides) under Salmo salar (Atlantic salmon). RNAcentral describes it as "lncRNA (ENSSSAG00000112035.1)". The record is from RNAcentral. Lineage: Eukaryota; Metazoa; Chordata; Actinopteri; Salmoniformes; Salmonidae.
GCAUGUAACAGCCAACAGCCAACAACCAAGUGGAGAAGACAAGCUAGCUUGCAUUUUUAGCUAGACACAUUACAAGUAUGAGGAUUCUGAGAGGAUGUGUGCUGGGGACUGAGGGAGAAAGUUGGUUUAAUGUAGGCUACAGAGCAAACGUUGGUUAACCCUAGGGGAACGUUGUUAACCACAGGAAACGCCCUGGUAACCACAGAAUGGGGAUAUUAAGGAACCAGGGAGAGAUAUGUGAGACCUGCUAGCUGCCUAGCUAUAAACUAGCUGUGGAAACUCCAGCCACACGGAAAACUAGUAUCGAACUGUGAGCAGAGAGACGUGUGUCAUACUUCAGGUUAUCCAUCUGAAACUUUGCACAUCCACUGCUGCCAUCUUGUGGACACUAUCAGAAUUACAACCAGAGUGAUGAUGACUGGAGGAACGCGGACGCCAGUUGCCAUGAGUUACUGAGAGCAGAACUGCGACUGCUUCCUCUCAGCGCCAAGAUGGAGGCCUUUAUCUACCAAAAGAAACCUGGAGUAGCUUGUUCCUGCAGUCUGGGCGUGUCCACCACCGUGACCGUUCCUAGAAGCCACACCUUUCACUCCUUAUCCAAUCAGAGCCCUGACCACGCCCAGGAGGAGGAGGAAGGGUCGCCACGGCAACGGCGCAUCACAGUUGCAUCAUUCAUGCCACAGUCUAAUGACCAGAAUGGAAACUUCCCAGAGAAGAAUUCGGACAGACAGAGGGGUAAACCUCUAGGAGAGUUGAACACAGAAGAAGUCUGCCGGUGGUUCAGCACUAUCGGCCUUCAGAAGAGACUCCAGUUCAUCAGAGAGGCAGAGCUAUGUGGGGCUGAUAUAGCCUCCAUAGACCUCAACACCCUCGAUGUCCUUCACAUCUCCAGCCUGCAGGAGAGAGAGCAGCUUUUGUCAGCCGUCUACAGAGAACUGCACCCACCAUCCACAACCUCACAGAGACUGGACUUACUACUGGAAACCUUGGGUCCUAAUAACGUAGAGAAAUUCACAGCAGCAUUAGUGAAUAUGAGCAAAUCGAAGUCCUCUCCGCAAAUAAGCUGCCUCAACAUUAAUCCAAUGAAUUCCUUCAAGUUCAAGUAUGUAUGUCUACCAAUUAUCAGGACUAACCCAUAAUUCUAUUCUAUAUUGUAAAUAUAUAUUUCCUUUGUUUCUUUUGGUUGCUGCCUGUAAUGGAUGCCAAAGCCCUAACCCUUUGGUCCAGAGGAACUCUCAGCUGAUGGAGACCACCAUAAACGCGUCGGAGCAGAUUGUGCACCUGCGUACCCCCAGAGAGACCACAGUGGGGAAGGUGAUGGAGUCGUGUUUUACGAUGCUGGGAAUGACUGAUAAUAAGGACCUCUUCAGCCUCACCGACAAACGAGGUUCUUCAGAGGAGCUGAUACCAGACCAACAUAUAACAUAUAACAAAAAGGAGGAGACAUCUAAAAGCGUAAGCGAGGCCCCACCCACUGGUGUUAACGGUUACCGUGACAACGGACAUGUCAGUCAGAACCACCAGAUGCAGCCUGUCAGCUCACGGCCGAUACAGGUGGUCAGCCAGCCAGGUAAAGAGGAAAAGAUCCGGGAGCUCAAACAACAGGUGGACUCUCUACAAAACGUCAUCCUACAGGUGCAGGAGAUCCACCACGGCCUGGUAGCAUUCUGUUCGGAGCUGAAGAGCAUGGAUGUAGAGGUGGACACGUCAGGGCUGAGCUUCCCUGAGCUGGAGCAGCGCCUGGGGCUGGCUAUGGGACUGCUCAGGGACAAGAGACACAGUCUACAGAGCCUCAGAGAGACCAUGAGAGAUACAGGCGCUCACAGGAACAAGCCGUCAGAGGUUUGUCUUCUGGAUACGAUGAAGUUGAACUGUCAGGUGUUUAAAGAAGAGAUCUCCCUGGUUUACCUCAACAGACAGGUGUCACAUCUACAGACAGCUCUACAAGACAGCCUAGUAAAGGCUUGUGGAGGUGAAUGGGGUACUGGUGAUGGGGUACAGUGAAGAGGAGCUGAGCCCCCUACUCCGCCAGGGACCAAGUGCUCGGAUAGUCAUCCUGAGUAGACCUCCUCCUCCUCCUCCUCCCAGCCCAAGAGACAGAAGACCCCUUCCUCUUUGAAGCAACAUCCUCCAUUAGUAUACACCUAGUACCACCAGGCAAUCCCAUCAAGCAUGACAUUGACACCCAAUAGACACCAGGCUGAUCCCAUCUACCAAGAGACUGACACCCUAUUGACCACCAGGCUGAUCCCAUCUACCAUGAGUUUUGACACCCCAUAGACACCAGCACAAUGAGCAUCAGGAACCUGAGGUCUCCACUGAGCCCCUCUCUACUCUACCAGC